GAGAGUAGGCGCAGGUGGUUGCGGAUCAGUCAUUAAGAUUGGUUUGAGGAAAGUCCGGACUCCCGAAAGACCAAACUUGCUGGAUAACGUCCAGUGCGAGCGAUCGUGAGGAUAGUGCCACAGAAAGAUACCGCCAACCAAUUUUAGAUUGUAGAUUUUAGAUUUUGGAUUGAAUUGAAAAUCUAAAAUCCAAAGUCCAAAAUCCAAAAUUAGUUGGUAAGGGUGCAAAGGUGCGGUAAGAGCGCACCAGCAACGUCGAGAGGCGUUGGCUCGGUAAACCCCGGUUGGGAGCAAGGCCGGAGGAACUACGGUUGGUCUUUUACCAGUUCCGGGAAAUGAGCGCCGCUAGAGGUGUUUGGUAACAAACAUCCCAGAUAGAUAACCACCCUCGCAAGAGAACAGAAUCCGGCUUAUGUCCUACUCUCUCUU
Molecule: RNase P RNA, 429 nt
Filed under: Sphaerospermopsis torques-reginae ITEP-024
Lineage: Bacteria; Bacillati; Cyanobacteriota; Cyanophyceae; Nostocales; Aphanizomenonaceae
Description: RNase P RNA component class A
Rfam family: Bacterial RNase P class A
About the family: Ribonuclease P (RNase P) is a ubiquitous endoribonuclease, found in archaea, bacteria and eukarya as well as chloroplasts and mitochondria. Its best characterised activity is the generation of mature 5'-ends of tRNAs by cleaving the 5'-leader elements of precursor-tRNAs.
Source: RNAcentral